This is a non-coding RNA of Camelina sativa (false flax), 212 nucleotides long. NCBI's taxonomy places the organism in Eukaryota, Viridiplantae, Streptophyta, Magnoliopsida, Brassicales, Brassicaceae. The record is from RefSeq and is a predicted model, not a curated record.
UUUAUAUCUGUCUCCGGAACAUCACUCAGUCUUUCCGCGGCUACAGUUUGACCCUCUUGGCGUGGCUUGGGAAGAUAACACUGGAGACAUAUAUCUCCCAGUUUCAUAUAUGGCUCAGAUCUGGAGUUCCUGAUGGUCAACCCAAAUUGUUACUCUCUCUUAUCCCGGAUUACCCAUUGUUGAACUUCAUGCUCACAACUUCGAUUUACGUC